AUAAUUCCAGUAUCUUUCUUUUUUUCUUUUUUUCUAGUUUUUAUACUAUGAGGAAGUAGCAAGUCUCGCUUUUCACCAAUUUAGAAAAUUUGGAAAAAAAAAGAAGAGAAGAAGAUAUUUGGAACUCAUGUGGUCGAGACUUACGUAAGUCUCGCCAAAUGUGAUUCAAGCAUCUUUCUUCUCUUCUUUUUUUUAGUAUUUUUAAUAUUUUCGUCGUAAUAUCGUCGUUAGUUUACGACUCUUUUACGACGAUUUUGGCUUACGUGGAAUUAGCGUGCCCCGCUUUUUUAAUUUCGUCGUAAAGUCCUCGUGGCCUUACGAGGUGUUUACGACGAAAUCAUCCUACGUGGAAUUAAAGAGUGCCUCCUUCGUCAUUUACUUUACGUGGUAUUUACGUCAAUUUACCUUACGAGGUCUUUACGACGAUUCUGUCCUACGUGGAAUAAACGAGUGCCUCCUUCGUCAUUUACUUUACGUGGUAUUUACGUCAAUAUACCUUACGAGGUCUUUACGACGAUUCUGUCCUACGUGGAAUAAACGAGGAUUACGUCGUACAUUCGACGUCAUAUUACGAGGAAUUAACGAGCAGUACGUUUAAAUCCCUAAAAUCCGAAACCCCAAACCCCAAAACCCCAUAUUCCUUAUCUUCUACUUCAUAUAUUCCAAACCCCAUCUUUAUUUUCAUUCCAAAC
RNAcentral lists this long non-coding RNA (692 nucleotides) under Brassica rapa (field mustard). RNAcentral describes it as "long non-coding RNA (BRAP_LNC006769)". The record is from RNAcentral. Lineage: Eukaryota; Viridiplantae; Streptophyta; Magnoliopsida; Brassicales; Brassicaceae.